UUGACCUACGGGACGCAGCAGUGGGGGAUAUUGCACAAUGGGGGGAACCCUGAUGCAGCGACGCCGCGUGGGUGAAGGAGCGUUUCGGCGCGUAAAGCCCUAUCGGCAGGGAAGAAGAUGACGGUACCUGACCAAGGAACCCCGGCUAACUACGUGCCAGCAACCGCGGUAAUACGUAGGGGGCAAGCGUUAUCCGGAUUUACUGGGUGUAAAGGGGGCGCAGACGGGAAUGCAAGCCAGGAGUGAAAGCCCGGGGCCCAACCCCGGGACUG
This 272-nucleotide ribosomal RNA is filed under the name uncultured bacterium. RNAcentral's name for it is "partial 16S ribosomal RNA". It matches the Rfam family "Bacterial small subunit ribosomal RNA", at positions 334 to 623 of the family's 1533-position model. The record is from RNAcentral.